AAAAAAUGUAAAACCUGGAUCACACCAUCUGUAUCGGGCAUAAAUGAACACCUUAAGUGCCAGUUUGUAGUGAUGCUUUUUCACACUUCUGGCACUAAAAGGGUUACUCCUCUUACAGAUGCACCAUGUGAUAACUUGUUUAAUGCUGUAACAUCUUAAGGAGCAGUUUGUUUUUUUUUUUUUGUUUUUUUUUCCUUCCAAUUUUAAGAAAAAAAUAAAUGAAUAAGACUCUUGGUACUUGAACAAUCUUUGUGUGAAGAUGUGUUUUUAUAGGUUUUUGGAAAAUGCAAUUUAAACAUCUUUUUGUACAUUUUGCUGUAUUUCUGCUAUUUUAAGCAGAAUUCUUUUCAGGGGAAACUAGGUUUCAGCAUUUAGCUUUUUAUUGAACAGUUUAACUGUUUUUAAGAUGCAUUUUUUUUCUCCCCAUUUCAUUGGCUUCUUCUUUUAUCUAUCUUGGCAUUUUGUUUGCUUUGUCCUGUGUGCCUAUGACUCUAGAUGGCACAAAGGGCAGUUGUGG
Molecule: non-coding RNA, 517 nt
Organism: Pelobates cultripes (western spadefoot toad)
Lineage: Eukaryota; Metazoa; Chordata; Amphibia; Anura; Pelobatidae
Source: the annotation of a GenBank genome assembly